This 3534-nucleotide long non-coding RNA is filed under the name Homo sapiens (human). RNAcentral's name for it is "HSALNT0322816". Lineage: Eukaryota; Metazoa; Chordata; Mammalia; Primates; Hominidae. The record is from RNAcentral.
UCCUGGGUGUAGGCUGAUCUAACUUUGGGAGAAACUUAGUUUACAAUUUACAACAAAGAUGAUAACAGCCCUCUCCCAAAACAAAUCCCCUUCUUUCCUGGGAACUAGACUGCCUUUGUAGGACUAACGAAUUAGCCAAAAGAUUAGAAAUUAUAGUUUAGGAGUCAUACAGCUGGAGGCUACAAGAUUCUGAAUCUCCUCAAAUUUCUCUUGGGGAUAACAUGACUCUUACAAAGCCUAAGAUCAGUGUUUGAGAUAUUUUGCAGACUCUGCACUCGAUGGAUCAGCUGGCACCACUCAGAUCGAUAAACUGGCUCAUCUGAACUUGUAGCCCUCACCCAGGAACCGACUCAGUGCAAGACAGCUUCGACUCCCUGUGAUUUCAUCUCCGACCAAAUCAGUCAGCAUCCACAAAUCAUUGGCUGCCACCCACUCACCAAAUUAUCCUUAAAACAUCUGAUCCUCAAAUGCUCGGGGAGACUGAUCUGAGUAAUAACAAAACUCAGUUCUCCCUCACAGCCAGCUCUGUGUGAAUUACUUUCUUUAUCACAAUUCCCCUGUCUUGAUAAAUCAGCUCUGUCUAGGGAGUGGGCAAGGUGAACCCACUGGGCAGUUACUCAACCACAUACCAAGUGCCAGAGGCUGGACCUGGACCUGUGAUACUAUGCUCUAAUAAGAUACUGCUUUGGGGGCUACCACUGGGCUCAGUUCAUCAUCACCCAUCUUGAUCCAUCUGAUUUUUUUCAGGGGUGAUAGCAGUAAACUGAAUGGGAAUAUGAUAGGAACCACCACUCCUGCAUUCUUUAAAUAUUGAAAAAUGGUAUUAAUUUCUGCAAUUCCACCCAGGAUAUAAUAUUGCUCUGAUUUAUUGUCUUGGCUUGGAGAAACAAUCUCGGGGAUGAUAGGAUUUUAGAAUAGCAGAAGCCAACUAGUUGCUUUAACCAAUUGGCUCUUCCUACCAUAAGGGUUCUUACUCACAGGUCAGUGAAACAAUAUGAGCAUUCUUCCAAUUGCAAAGAAUAUCAAUCCCAGUUAUGCCCAAGAGGACUGGGGAAAUGAUCACAGGUUGGGUCUCUGGACCCAUUGUACAUAUUGUAACAUAGAUCUAGGCUAAGACUCCACAUGUCUCCUCUGUAAUCAUGGAGCCAAGAAAGCAUUUUCAGAUCCCCUGAUAUCAGCAUCAGUUCAGAUCCUAUGUCCAAAAGCUCUCAAAAGUCUUCCUCUUUCUAUAGCAUACAAUUACUCUGUUAAACAGCUACAGUUUCCUUUGAGUUAGGAUUGAUAUAUUGUAUAUGCUUGCAGUGACAUUGAGGGGUCUUUCAUUAGGCAGACACAGCCUCUCCAAUUGGUGGUCUCUGAUCAAAAGAAUUAACUAAGCUGGAAACUGGACCAGAGAUUGCAGGUUUCCACUAUGGUAGCUGAUAUCAGUUUUCUUCACAGCAACUCUUGAUUUUUUUUUUUCUGAUUGUAUAAGCCAAGCAAUGUGCUAGCUCACUCUUUAUCUCAUUUGCCCCAAGGAAAAUAUAGUCUAUUAGACACUGCCACAGAUAUGUGCAGGACUCAGUGCCCCAGAUGCAACUCUGGUCUUUCUACCUGGCAUGAUAAUUACAUCCACCAUGAUACUGAUGGUUAAAUGUUACUACCCUGACCUCUGCUAUUCUGGAAUUCCAUCAUCACAAUUGACACUAUAGAACCCAGUUCCAUACAGAACGGAGCCUUAGGCAUCCAGCCGUUGGGGUGUGCCACUCAGAUCUCCUUUAAAGGAAGAAAUUGCCAUGAGGAAUGUAGUUAUCUGACAGCCUCCAGCUGCCUCAACUUUGAGGUCUUUCGCAGCAUUCACUCAAAGGCCACAUAGUCCUGGUCAAAGACUAAACAUGGCAAAGUUUCUAGAGCUGGUCCAUUCUUGCUCAUCAUAGGAUUCCUCUAAUGGGAAAUCUUUCCCCAAGGGUUCCGCAUUAGCCUAACCAAGACUUUCUCUGAGACUCUUAGUUAUUAUGAUGCUACUUCCACCAGCACCAGGGUUCUUGUUGCUAUCUGGCUGUUGAGUGAUUCAGUCCCACUGAGCAAUGUCAACCUGAUUGUCUUUCUUUGUUUUUAAGAAACAGGGUCUUGCUCUGCUGCCCAGGCUGGAGCACAGUAGUGUGAUCAUAGCUCACUACAGCCUUCAACUCCUGGGCCUUAGCAAUCCUCCUGCCUCAGCCUCCCAAGGAGCUAUGGCUGCAGGUAUCCGCCACCACUCAUUGACAGCCACUUCCAGUACUCACUGUCUUGGACACAGACUUGAGUAAAAGUACAGAAACAGGGCCGGUAGGACCAGAGGCUCCCCCUCCUGGGUCAGAUUAUGCAGUAAGGAGCUUCACAGAAUACGACUGGAAAUCCACAUACCCACUUUUCUGUUUAAUUCAGGAAGCAGUUGCUAAACACAACUAACAGAGCAAAGUAAGUACACAGGGCUAAGAGAAGAGGUAGAGAGAAGAACAAAAUGAAUUUAGGAAAGACUAGAAAGGAGAUUGUUGUGGGCACUUUAAGUAUUUGGAUCCAAAAAGGAGAGGAAAAGUCUGAGAAUACCGAUCUGUGGCUUCCCGGUGAUCCCAGAAGAAAAGGGGCAAGAGGCCUGGAUGAAGAAAUACCCUCAGAAACUCCCACUCUUCUGGUUCCUGCUGAAGACUCCAGUAAUAAAAGUUAUUCAUACCUACCUCCACCAUCUUGGCUGGGAAGUCAAGGAAGAAGAUAGCAGCCCGCAACCCGGAAGAGGGCCCUCACCAGAACCUACCAUGCUGGCACCCAGACCUCAGACUUCCAGCCUCCAGAAAUGAGCUCCCUCUGCUGCAGGAACUCAACGAUAGGGAGGAAGAGUCCAGAAAAGUAGGGCUGUCAGCACCUCUGUGAGCAGCCGACGAUCCACAGCGGAUGGAGUUUGGUGGUAAAGGUACUCACUUCCUGUCUCUCUGGUGAUGAUUUUGAGCAUGUUCUACAAAGUCUUUCAGAUGGUCCCAGUAGGUUGGAGCCCAGCUGCCCUCAGUGGUAACCUGCCCAUUAACGUAUCCUGUGUUGGUUUCCUUUCCUCCCCUACCUCACCUCCCCACUCCCCUUUCUAUGAUUCCUAGAGUCACCUCCCAAAUAAACUUUCACAUUUACAUUAUUGUCUCAUGGUCUCUUCUGAGGGAACUCAAACUAAAACAAAAUGCUUAUUGAAUUAAAUCCUCAGUUGCAGAUGAGAGGUUCAGGGACCAUGCCAGAUGCUGAAGGCACCAAGAUGGAUAGUGAUGAGCCUUCUCAUUCAGCCCUUACUCAGCACUGCCUCUGGCUACCAAGCACUGUGCUCCUAUCAUGUACCAGCCCCUGGGACUCUCCGUUUACAUGCAUCUUGGCUAACCCUUUCCACCACCCUGCCCAGUAGCUAUCAUUAUGCUCAAAUUGCAAACGGGGAAAUUGAUGCUCAGAGGGUUUUCCAAAGUCACACAGUCAUAGAAAUGCCAUCUUUGGUUAGGGAGCAGUGCCUCACACCUGAAGUUUCAGCACUUUGGGAGGCCA